AUUGAACGCUGGCGGCAGGCCUAACACAUGCAAGUCGAGCGGAUGAGAAGAGCUUGCUCUUCGAUUCAGCGGCGGACGGGUGAGUAAUACCUAGGAAUCUGCCUGGUAGUGGGGGACAACGUUUCGAAAGGAACGCUAAUACCGCAUACGUCCUACGGGAGAAAGCAGGGGACCUUCGGGCCUUGCGCUAUCAGAUGAGCCUAGGUCGGAUUAGCUAGUUGGUGAGGUAAUGGCUCACCAAGGCUACGAUCCGUAACUGGUCUGAGAGGAUGAUCAGUCACACUGGAACUGAGACACGGUCCAGACUCCUACGGGAGGCAGCAGUGGGGAAUAUUGGACAAUGGGCGAAAGCCUGAUCCAGCCAUGCCGCGUGUGUGAAGAAGGUCUUCGGAUUGUAAAGCACUUUAAGUUGGGAGGAAGGGCAGUAAGCGAAUACCUUGCUGUUUUGACGUUACCGACAGAAUAAGCACC
RNAcentral lists this ribosomal RNA (471 nucleotides) under uncultured bacterium. RNAcentral describes it as "bacterial SSU rRNA". It matches the Rfam family "Bacterial small subunit ribosomal RNA", at positions 30 to 494 of the family's 1533-position model. The record is from RNAcentral.